ACCUACCGCUGCCAAUCUACCUACUGCUGCCAACCUAUCUAUCACUGCUAAUCUAUCACUGCUAAUCUAUCACUGCUAAUCUAUCGCUGCCAACCUACCUACCACUGCCAACCUACCUACCACUGCCAACCUAUCUAUCGCUGCCAACCUAUAUAGGGUAAAUCAUGGUCCCAUUUGGUCCCAUUUUGUAAAAUGGGACCAAAUGGGACCAGAAUCACUAAUUUAUUAGUAAAACAUGAUCUGGGACUAGAUUUAUAAUAUAAACAGUGUAAAGUGACUAAUUUGCUAAACACUAUAUGGGACCAGGACUAAGAUAUCUAAUAAUGGGACUGAGGAAAAAUUUGGUCCCAGUCCCAUGCAUGGUCACACGGCCAGUCUAAUCUUGAUUAUGAUAUAUAUCAGAGAUUCUAUAAUACAGAGAGAUUCAAUAAAUUUGUAUAUAUUCAGAUACUGUUCAAAUGUCAACAAGAUUAUCACUAUUUAGUGAUAAAUAAUUACUUUUUUUAUUAUUUAUAAGCACUG
This 522-nucleotide small RNA is filed under the name Histoplasma capsulatum. Its description in RNAcentral is "hypothetical RNA". RNAcentral also lists the same sequence under 1 other name. The record is from RNAcentral. Lineage: Eukaryota; Fungi; Ascomycota; Eurotiomycetes; Onygenales; Ajellomycetaceae.